Molecule: long non-coding RNA, 2160 nt
Filed under: Nicotiana tabacum (common tobacco)
Lineage: Eukaryota; Viridiplantae; Streptophyta; Magnoliopsida; Solanales; Solanaceae
Description: long non-coding RNA (NTAB_LNC006330)
Source: RNAcentral
AUAUAUAUAUAUAUAUAUAUAUAUAUAUAUAUAUAUAUAAAUGGAGGUUCUUUGGACAGAGUUAUUGGGGGGAGAAUGCGUGAAAAACUAGGGUUCUUCUCAUUUUUCCAUUUUUCAAAGAAGCUAAGUUUCGAUUUUUGGUUGCAAAAAAUGGAGAUGGUUUCCAUUCUGCGCGACUGAAGUUUGGUUGUGUGUUCAUCGCAAAAUUGAAUCAAGGUGUCGAUUCGAGUUUCUGGGGUUCCUUUGCGGUCGAAUUAUGGUUCGUGAUUCUUGUUGCUGCUGUUUUGCUUGUUCAUUUCAAAACUUCAUCGGAAAGUCAGUUUGUAAUCGCAUACAAACAAAUUCAAUCAGAAGCUUUCCACAUUCAGGUUCAUUUCCUUACUCUUUUGGUUCUGUUUUUUGCAGGUUUUGAACGUUGAUUGAUUGCGGAUGAAUUCUCUUCGAUGUAAAUGUGUUCUGUUCUGUCGUUAUGUUAGAAGUAUAUUUUAACUUCGAAUUUGUUUGUCUCCUACUACUAAAGAAUUGAUUACAAGGCUUCAAGAAAUCGAAACAGCUGAUAUAAUUCUUUGUAUAGUUCCCUGAAUCGAAUAGCCUGUUUGUGAAGCUUUGAAAGGAUUGAGCUAAUUGAGUAUUCUGUGAUUUUCUUGGAAUCAUGUUUCGUUUAUGUCAACUGUGUGUUCAUCAAAUUCUUCAGGUGAAAUCUCUUAGACGGUAAACGAGCGUGAACUAUUUGGAUCUCUGCUUGUUUUAAUUAGUGUGAUAGAUUAAUAUCGAAGUAUUGGACCUAAUCUUGAUGGAAUUGUAUUCCAUACGUUGUUCUUGUUGGUGUUUUUCUUGAUGCAAAGUUCAUUAGGUUCAGUUAUCUUGAGGCAAGCGUGAUAUUUACUGGCAUGCUCUUUUCACUCUCGGCACUAAAAUUAUCACUUAAUUGACCUUAUGUCCUGAGAAGUUUAGGCUAAGUUGUGAAAAAUUUCCUCGCUGCAAACUUCCUUCAAAUGUAAUUGAAAGAACAACAGUUUUUUUUUUGAAUUCUCAAAGUUAUUUGGCGUAGUAGUUUAUGAGUGAGUCAACUGGUGUUCCCUGUUUUGAAUAACACUGUCCAUGCCUUCCAGUGAUCCAUAUAACACGUGACUCAUUGCUCUAUCAAAUUGACGGAUCUAUACCUUUUCACAUAUGUUGGACGAGAACUUCUAUUGUUUCCAUGAUUAGACAUAACUAGUUGGCUUGGAUUUGUGAGUUGUUUUCCCAUAUAGUUAGUUUGAUCAUGAGUUAGUAAAUCAAGUAGGGUGCAUUUUUGGAAAGGGUGUGGUAUCCAUGUUAGUUAUUAUUUUUAGAUCAUCUCAAGUGUCCUGUCCUCACUUUGUUUAUUGGCACUUUUGCAUUAUGAUUUACUGGGAUGUUUCAUGGAUUUGAAGCUGAAUGUGAUUUUUUCUUAAAUUAAAUGUUUUGUUGUGUUCAAGAUUUGAAAAAUAUAUAAAUGCUUCUCUGUUGUUAGAAGGGUUGUCCUUUGAUGUUUAACCCAGGCUUCGUCUCUUUUUAUUUGUUUACUGCCAUUUACUUGUUCCUUCAUUCCAAUUGUUUGAUGUUUGACCCUUUAUUUGACUUUAUCUUUAUGAAUUAGAAGUACUGUACAUGGUCGUCGGGUUUGGGAAUUUGAGAUUAAAAGGGUAGUUUGCAUCCUUUAUAUUUCUUAUCUCAUUUUAUUCUCUUACUCCUACUCUAGUCGCUAGAAGUAUGUUAGGCCGACCAUACUUGGGUAGGCAAGCUUUAGGAUUUUAUUAGUUUCGAGGCGAGAGGUCAUUUCCUUAUUUAAAUUUACCCGGGGAAUGCCCCGAGAGAUUUGUAUAUAUUUCAUUCCGGGGAAUGCCUCGUAGAACUUUGUAAUGAGAAGUCAAAAGUAGAACUUGUAGUAUUUUAUUCUUGUUUUCUAUUUUCUUUUAUUAGGCGGGGACGACCUCGAGCCUCAUGUGUGUUUAUUUUACUUUUUUCCGUGAUUUUACCUCAACUUGAAUAUUUUAGAAGCCAACUAGAUCAAGUUCGCAACCAUACUAGUUACGGGACUCGGGGAAUGCCUAACACCUUCUCCCCGAGUCAAAUGAGCCCCCUUACCCGAUUCUCUGGUGCGGACUUAGUUUUGGAGUCUCAAGUAUUUUGAAAGGA